AUGAGAGAUAAUUGGGAGUACCUCACCGGAGCAUCGGAGAGUGACGGUGGCUUGCUUCCUUUGGCCCUAGGUGGUCGACAUCCUGUUGAGGACGAGGGGCUCCAGCAGGGCUCAACGCAGAGGAGGGGACAACAUCCAGCAGCCCACCAUGGAUGCAAGUGGCGGCGGCACGGGAUGCUGGUGGGAGGACGGCCCUGGUUGCUGUUGGGGCCCGGCGAUGCGCGGGGCGGGGCGGCGCAGACGGCGAGGUGGAGACGGGAUCUGGCCGGCUUCGGCCAGAUCCAUACGUGGCUGCGCUCGGCGGCGACCUGCAUCGGGCGGCGGCGCUCAGGGUUGGUGGAGGGGCGCGUGCAGGGGGUUGGCUUCAGGGAUGCCGGAGCCUCUCGUCGGCGCGGGUCCCUGGUGGGGGACGACGGCGGCAGCGCGGGUUCCUGGUGGGGAACGAUGGCGGCAGCGCGGGCUCCUGGUGGGGAACGACGGCGGCGGCGCGGGUUCCUGGUGCGAGAGGGCGUUGAAAGCGAUGGGGGAAAGUUCAUCGAGUUGGGGUGGGCCGUUCGGAGGAGUGCAACGGGCCGGUCAGAUUUACUCUUUUUGCGUGUUUGGAAGUUCCGGAACAGCCGAUCGCCCCUAUAUAGCGCAUUAUGA
This 645-nucleotide ribosomal RNA is filed under the name Triticum aestivum (bread wheat). RNAcentral describes it as "partial small subunit ribosomal RNA". Lineage: Eukaryota; Viridiplantae; Streptophyta; Magnoliopsida; Poales; Poaceae. The record is from RNAcentral.